UGGUGUAUAUAUGGUUUAAUAUUAUUGUUUAAUAACAUGAAUUUGUGUAUAUUUAUAAAGCCAAGUCUAUGUGCUGCUUGUAAAAGAUUUUAUGGGUUACAUUUUUUUUUGUUAGUUAUGAGAAUUUGAUUUUUUAUUAAGACUUAAAAGUUAUAUAGAAUGAUUUUGUCUAUGUGAAAAAGGUUUAUCUCGUGUACACACCAC
This 204-nucleotide ribosomal RNA is filed under the name Mesocestoides sp. JH-2016b. Its description in RNAcentral is "partial 12S ribosomal RNA". The record is from RNAcentral. Lineage: Eukaryota; Metazoa; Platyhelminthes; Cestoda; Cyclophyllidea; Mesocestoididae.